This is a long non-coding RNA of Cydia amplana, 352 nucleotides long. RefSeq lists it as uncharacterized. The transcript has 2 exons. The record is from RefSeq and is a predicted model, not a curated record. NCBI's taxonomy places the organism in Eukaryota, Metazoa, Arthropoda, Insecta, Lepidoptera, Tortricidae.
AUUUUUCUCAUUUUAGUGUAUAUAUAUCAUUCCUGUGUUUAUUUUUUUCAUUCCGUUGGGAAAAAUGUCAUUCAGGUGGAGUGUUAUAUCAUUCCUUUGCAUACUUAUCAUUCAAGUGCGAGUCAUUUUCUUCAUUCCGGUGGAAAAAUGUCAUUUAGGUGGAGUGUUAUAUCAUUCCUGUGUAUACUUAUCAUUCACGUGCGAGUCAAUUUUUUUAAUCUCCGAUAAUUCUCAAAAGGCUUAAGAUAUCAAGUGCUCUGUAAGAGGCUUAUCAAAGAACAGUCUGAGAAACGUAAAUAAAGAAUUACACCGGAAUGACACAAAAAACUAGUACUGUUGAAAUUGACCCAUU